This 497-nucleotide ribosomal RNA is filed under the name uncultured bacterium. Its description in RNAcentral is "partial 16S ribosomal RNA". It matches the Rfam family "Bacterial small subunit ribosomal RNA", at positions 28 to 507 of the family's 1533-position model. The record is from RNAcentral.
GAUGAACGCUGGCGGCGUGCCUAAUACAUGCAAGUCGAGCGAACGGACGCGAAGCUUGCUUCUCUGAUGUUAGCGGCGGACGGGUGAGUAACACGUGGAUAACCUACCUAUAAGACUGGGAUAACUUCGGGAAACCGGAGCUAAUACCGGAUAAUAUUUUGAACCGCAUGGUUCAAAAGUGAAAGACGGUCUUGCUGGCACUUAUAGAUGGAUCCGCGCUGCAUUAGGUAGUUGGGAAGGUAACGGCCUACCAAGGCAACGAUGCAUGGCCGACCUGAGAGGCUGGUCGGCCACACUGGAACGGGGACACGCUCCAGGCUCCUACGGGAGGCACCAGUAGGGAACCUUCCGCAACAGGCGAAAGCCUGACGGAGCAACGCCGCGUGAGUGAUGAAGGUCUUCGGAUCGGAAAACUCUGUUAUUAGGGAAGAACAUAUGUGUAAGUAACUGUGCACAUCUUGACGGUACCUAAUCAGAAAGCCACGGCUAACUACGUG